CAAACUCCUACGGGAGGCAGCAGUGAGGAAUAUUGGUCAAUGGACGAGAGUCUGAACCAGCCAAGUAGCGUGCAGGAUGACGGCCCUAUGGGUUAGUAAACUGCUUUUAUAAGGGAAUAAAAGUGAGUCUCGUGAGACUUUUGCAUGUACCUUAUGAAUAAGGACCGGCUAAUUCCGUGC
RNAcentral lists this ribosomal RNA (180 nucleotides) under uncultured bacterium. RNAcentral's name for it is "partial 16S ribosomal RNA". It matches the Rfam family "Bacterial small subunit ribosomal RNA", at positions 332 to 508 of the family's 1533-position model. The record is from RNAcentral.